RNAcentral lists this ribosomal RNA (433 nucleotides) under uncultured bacterium. RNAcentral describes it as "partial 16S ribosomal RNA". It matches the Rfam family "Bacterial small subunit ribosomal RNA", at positions 29 to 507 of the family's 1533-position model. The record is from RNAcentral.
AACGAACGCUGGCGGCAUGCCUAACACAUGCAAGUCGAACGAGACCUUCGGGUCUAGUGGCGCACGGGUGCGUAAUGCGUGGGAACCUGCCCUUAGGUUCGGAAUAACUCCCCGAAAGGGGUGCUAAUACCGGAUAAUGUCUUCGGACCAAAGAUUUAUCGCCUUUGGGUGGGCCCGCGUUGGAUUAGCUAGUUGGUAGGGUAAAAGCCUACCAAGGCGACGAUCCAUAGCUGGUCUGAGAGGAUGAUCAGCCACACUGGGACUGAGACACGGCCCAGACUCCUACGGGAGGCAGCAGUGGGGAAUAUUGGACAAUGGGCGAAAGCCUGAUCCAGCAAUGCCGCGUGAGUGAUGAAGGCCUUAGGGUUGUAAAGCUCUUUUACCCGGGAUGAUAAUGACAGUACCGGGAGAAUAAGCUCCGGCUAACUCCGUG